RNAcentral lists this long non-coding RNA (4772 nucleotides) under Sus scrofa (pig). RNAcentral describes it as "lncRNA (ENSSSCG00015046337.1)". Lineage: Eukaryota; Metazoa; Chordata; Mammalia; Artiodactyla; Suidae. The record is from RNAcentral.
UAUCACUAAUAUAUGGAAUUUAAUAACAAAUUAUACAGAAGAACUUACAAAAUAGAAACCAACUCAAAGAUUUUGAAACCAAACUUAGGGCUAUCAAAGGUGAAAAGUUGGGGGGAAGGAUAAAUUAUGAGGUCGGGAUUAACAUAUACACACUACUAUAUAUAAAAUAACUAAGUAACAAGGACCUACUGUAUAGCACAGGGAAAACUACUCAAUAUUCUAUAAUAACCUAUAUGGGAAAAGAAUCUGAAAAAGAAUGGUUAUAUGUAUACAUAUAACUAAUUCACUGCUGUAUACCAGACACUAAGACAACAUCAUAAGUCAAUUGUACUCCAAAAAAAUUUUUUUGAAAGUAAAGGUAGAUUGCAUUUCAUUAACUUAUAGUAAUGAUGCUUUUGGUUAUCUUCUUAUGGUCCCAUCCUCCAAAAUAUGCCUUGAAAUGUAUGGGAGAAAAGUCUAGGUCCUAACAAAAUCCUGUUAUCUCUUCUGCCUGGGAACACAGCUGGACCACAGCUCUCAGGCUCUCCUGCCUUUCAGUGGAGCAUGGAGCUGAGCUAUAACCAAUGGUAUAUGAGCAGGAACAGCAAACCUCCCCAAGCCAACCAGAGCAACCUCCCAUGCCACCUGCGAGGCAUUUCCCCAUUCUGCUGGGAGGAAGGGUGCAGGGCAUCCUGGGGUCCCUAGACCCCAGGGGAGGGCAGAACCACCAAUCCAAAGAGGUCUGGGUCUCCAAGUCACAGUCCUGGAAGAUCACCCUUCAAACAUCCAAUCCACAUAACAUGAGCAAGUACACUUUUCACAAAUUAAGUGACUCCUCUGAGGUUGCUUGUUGCAGCAUUAGCCUUACCAUAACGCAAGAGACAAACCUGGAUCCCACUCAAUAAUGACAGCUGAUAAACAAUUCUGCAAAUCCCUCCCAGCAUUAAGGACAUUUAAAAAUGAAAACAGGCUUUGUUGACAGUGUUAGGUAUGAAUCUUAAAAGACAGAAGCAGAGUUCAGAGUUUAGAUGCUCUGCUGGGGAGACAUCUGCUCCUGAAACAAGACUCUGGGCCCCUGGGGACUGACAAGCCUUGACAGACAGGAAACUUCCUGGGCCACGCCCCCCUGCUGCCCUAAUCACUGCCUCCAGGAAAGGAGAGCAUCUCCACAAGAGUAUUUUUAGAUCAGCUUAAUUUCUAAAACCACAUCUGAGCGCUCACCUUUAAUGCUCAUGCUAUUACUGAUACCUCUGCCAUGCAGUUUCCGUUAUUCAUAUUUAUAACAAUAUGAUAAGUCUGGUUCUCAGUCUCUGAAUUAGAGGGUAUUAAAACUUUCCUGACUAUCAAGCCCAAGAAGAAGAUCCUUGUAUUCUGCCUCUCUCAAAAUCCCACAGACUCUCAGGAUACAUGCCCUUCUUCCCUGGGGUUAUAUGUCCUCUGGGAAGCCUUCACUGAUCACCCUUUAGCUGGGUUCAGCACUCCUUCCCAAGACCUCGUCACAUCCAAUGCUAAUGAAUGGAUUUAUUUUCAGGAGAGUGUAUUACAAAUAUUGCAUGUUGCUUCUCUCAGGCUGUCAGCAGGGACUGAGUCAAAAAAUUUAAUUUCUAGCACUGGGAUUACCAGUCUAGCAUCUCCCUGUACUCGCCAAAGAAAGACUCACUGAACACCUGCUCUGUGCCAGAUGCUAGGUAGCCAGUGGAGAACUAAUGGCUUCAAGAGUCCCAGUGCUGAUUCUAACAGUGUAAUGAUGGAGAUGGACUGGUUAUGGUCUUUAUUAGCAAAGAGUGGCUCUAAUAAAUGCAUAAUCAUGGGUGGUGGAGGUGAUCAGGAAGAAAAGCCCCUGUUUCCAUGACAAUGUCUUCUUACUUUGUCUUUCCCCAAAGAGACCUUUUAGAUAAGGGGUUGGGUGCAAAUUCUUUAUCUGGGAGGUAGCUUUAGGGAGCACAAUAAGAGAAUGGAGAAGUGAGACAAGGAAUCGAGGAAUGUUAGUAAAAAUUAUGUAAGAAGCAGACUGAUGCUGUGGGUAAGUGCUCCUCAGCCCUGCUGGGAGCUUCUGAGAGACUGUAUGGAACAUGCCUGAGAAUUGCCCCACUGUGGGAAGACAGUCUUAGGCAAAGAUCGGAUGCAAAGAAAUGGAUAGAUGGAUGAAUGGGUCCUGCAUGCCAGGGUCUAAAUGAAGAAUUGGAGGAGUAACAGAUAAGAAAAGAAGGACCGAAUGGGGAAUAAAUGAUUGUGGAUGCCUGGUGAAAUCCAGCAGCCUCUGCUAGGGAAUGUGAUUGUCACCCAUGCUAAGAGCUUCGUGAGAAUAUAACUGUGCUGGUUACACAUGGAAGGAGAUGUAAACCCAGCCUGAGUUUUCUCAUGCAUGCCUGUGGACCUCUGAAGGAAUUUCAAAUGUAUUCAGGACCAAUUACCUUCAGUUUAAUGAUGCUGUGUCCCAUAGGCUCCUACUGAUGUGGAUAUGGAACUUGUAGUUCUAGAGCAAACUUGUCUUUAUCCAUCCCAAAGAUGCUGACAUGGCACAGCCAGGCCCGUAGGCAGAAGCAUCCUUUAAGUAAAGAAAGAAAUGUGGUCAACCGCCCAGGGCUGUCUGGAUAGGACAGAAGUGAGCUAUUUACACAGAUGUGAACACUUAAAUAUUUCUUUGCUUUACAUCUUGGAAUUGUUCGCGUAGGUAAAUUAACAACCAUGCAUUCAUUUUUUAUUCACUCAUUUAUUCAUUCCUUCAGUACAUAUUUAUUGAGCAUCUACUAGGUCCCAGGUGCUGGAAAGUGCAUGGGGAGCAAGAGCCACCAUCUCUCCUCCAAGAUGUCCUUCGUGGAGGCUGAGGAUGUUCAGUACAUAACACAAUCAUGACAUUUGUACAGAAGGAAACUGUACACAAGCCCAUCUGUGACAUGUAUGGGCACUUUUUCUUAGAAAGAAAGAGAAAGCCUCUUUGAAGAAACCAUGGAUGAGCAAGAAAGGUGGAACAAGGGAGAAGCGUGUCCAGCCAGGGCGAGGAGCCUGUGCCAAGACCACUGUGAGGCCAAGGACUGUGGCCCAUUUAAAGACGGAGUGAAGUGCCAGAGAGGGUGGAGGACAGACAGGCAGCAAGGACCUGGCAGGAGGGGAGGCUACAGAAAUGGACAGGGGACAGAUACAGUUUCCUAUACAUGUGUUUUAUAUAUUUUAAAACCUCUUCAUAGGCAGUAGAUUAAGUCAACUUUAUAGGUUAACAAACUGAGGUCCAGAUAACACGUGCAUGAGAGAAAGAGAAGCUACCUCAAGGAAUUUCCUGCCCUGGGCAUUCACUUACUUCAGCAGCACACACUUGGUGGAUGCUCAGCAUAUGCUAGGUCCUGGGUGGGCACGGGGGUAAGAGAAGGAUGAAUGGCCAGAUGAAGGCUACAGUCUGGAGGCUACGGGGUGCAAAGGCUCUAGAGUCCCAGCCUGAGCUUUCAGGGGACCUUGUGGGUCAGAGAAGUCCUUUGACUUCUUCCCAUACUCUUCUGUCUGCGUAGGAGCCGGCGUGGGCUAUUCAGUCCCAGACCCAGUUUGUAUCUCAUCUCUGCUACACACCGUNGACCCGGUUUGUAUCUCAUCUCUGCUACACACCGUCAAGGUGACCUAUGUGUCCUAAUUGAGCCUCACUAAUUUCUACAAAAUGAGAAUACUGCUAUUUCUUACCUGACAUCAUCUGUGUGUGUGAGGGGAAGGGGAGUGGAAAAGACAGGCUGGGCCAAUAGCUGGUGAGCAGGAGUUGGGGAACCGGAUCCCGGCUUAUCAGCCCCACCUUCCCCUCCAUCUUCUCCCUGUAGCCACUAUGGAGAUGCUGGAAAAUCUCGCGCCCUCAGCCUCUCUAGCUGGAGAUCUUUAGAUUCUCCAGCUCUGCACAAGCCUACAUCUUGGCCAGAGGUACCUUUGGGCAGGUGGCACCAGCUGCUGGGGGUUGAGCACAGGUCUCCCCACAGUGGUUCCUGCUGCACCCUGGGUAGGGGUCUAGCUCAAUGUCAGGCAGAUGCCUGCUUCCUGCUGUGCUGACACAGGUGCACCUUCCUCAUGCUCCCUCAGGCCCUUCCCCCAAAGCUGUGGACCCAGGACUUUGAUGCCUUCGAGCAUCUGAGGUAGAUCAGUUCAGCUGCACACCCAGAAGCCGGGCCCAUGCAAGUCUGCGAUCAGCUGAUUUUGUGCUGGGCAUUUCAGGUCAGAUGGAUUCCCUGGGUGCUUUCCUGCUUUACAAUCUGCCAGGUUCAUCUCCACAUGACUGAGAUGACGAAAGGGGUAACUUUGUCUCUCCUCCUUUCCCAGAGGCUGCACAGGAGCCCAUAGGCUCCUUCCAAAGGUUGCUCUGGCCCCUCGAUGUGCCCUUGCUAAACCCUGGCUCAGGCUGCCCAGAGGGAAGCACCUGAGCCUCAUUUCCUGGGAUCAUCAAUUGGUAGACGAUGCCCCAGCAAUGACAGAGCUAGGACAAUGAAAGCCAGAGACUUGAGGACAAGUUCUUUGGAAGGAGUUAGCAGUGGGAGGGCAUGUGAAGGUGACGGCUGCUUCCAAAUAUAUAUUUUUUUCAGUUAGACCUAUAAAGAGGCCUUGAGGAGUUCCUGCCAUGGCUCAGUGGAAACAAAUCUGCCUAGUAUCCAUGAGGAAGCAGGUUCAAUCGCUGGCCUUGCUCAGUGGGUUAGGAUCUGGUGUUGCUGCAAGCUGUGGUGUAGGCCGCAGACGUGGCUCGGAUCUGGUGUUGCUGUGGCUGUGGCUAGGCCGGCAGCUGUAGCUCUGAUUGGAUCCCUAGCCUGGGAAGCUCCAUAUGCUGUGGG